UACGUAGGGGGCAAGCGUUGUCCGGAUUUAUUGGGCGUAAAGAGCGUGUAGGCGGCCAUACAGGUCAGCUGUGAAAACUCGAGGCUCAACCUCGAGACGUCGGUUGAAACCGUAUGGCUAGAGUCCGGAAGAGGAGAGUGGAAUUCCCGGUGUAGCAGUGAAAUGCGUAGAGAUCAUGAGGAAGACCAGUGGCGAAGGCGGGUCUCUGGACAGUUCCUGACACUGAGGCACGAAGGCCAGGGGAGCAAACGGG
This 253-nucleotide ribosomal RNA is filed under the name uncultured bacterium. RNAcentral describes it as "partial 16S ribosomal RNA". It matches the Rfam family "Bacterial small subunit ribosomal RNA", at positions 524 to 776 of the family's 1533-position model. The record is from RNAcentral.